Molecule: ribosomal RNA, 427 nt
Filed under: uncultured Chlamydiae bacterium
Lineage: Bacteria; Pseudomonadati; Chlamydiota; Chlamydiia
Description: bacterial SSU rRNA
Rfam family: Bacterial small subunit ribosomal RNA
Source: RNAcentral
AACGCGAAGAACCUUACCUGGGCUCGAAAUGCAGAGGAAGAUGCCAGAAAUGGCUUCGUCCGCAAGGACUUCUGUAUAGGUGCUGCAUGGCUGUCGUCAGCUCGUGCCGUGAGGUGUUUGGUUAAGUCCAGCAACGAGCGCAACCCUUAUCAUUAGUUGCCAACACGUAAGGUGGGGACUCUAAUGAGACUGCCUAGGUUAACUAGGAGGAAGGCGAGGAUGACGUCAAGUCCGCAUGGCCUUUAUGUCCAGGGCUACACACGUGCUACAAUGGUCGGUACAGAGGGCUGCAAGACCGCAAGGUGGAGCAAAUCCCAGAAAGCCGAUCUCAGUUCAGAUUGUGGACUGCAACUCGUCCACAUGAAGUCGGAAUUGCUAGUAAUGGCGUGUCAGCAAUAACGCCGUGAAUACGUUCCCGGGCCUUGUA